Leptinotarsa decemlineata (Colorado potato beetle) is the source of this 409-nucleotide long non-coding RNA. NCBI's taxonomy places the organism in Eukaryota, Metazoa, Arthropoda, Insecta, Coleoptera, Chrysomelidae. The record is from RefSeq and is a predicted model, not a curated record.
UUACUUGCGCAAAUCAAACGAACAUAAGAAGAAUUGCCAUCGAAGCCGCAAAACUGAAAAUGAUGGAUGAAGGUGAAUAUGCCAUAUUCAAUUUCGAGUUAUAUAAUAACGCCGAAUUGCCAUCUCGUCCAUGGUACUCUCGAAACGACACUGACGAAAAUAAUGAACUUGCAAGAAAAGGUUACGAGGCAAUCUACACCAUUAUGCCUCUAUCAGAAACAGAAUUCAAUUCUGUUGCACGUCAAACAAUGAGAGGUUCUAUUUGGCUUGAUGAAAUGUACGAUGGAAUGAUAAUGUAUCUACAAGCGCUGAAUCAAUCGCUUACUAAUGAAAAAUUCGACGGAUAUGCGGAGCAUAAUAUUUCAGGAUGUAGAAUGUUUCAUGGAAUGAUGGGAAAAACAUUCAGAGG